RNAcentral lists this ribosomal RNA (1068 nucleotides) under Vibrio sp. 753. RNAcentral's name for it is "bacterial SSU rRNA". It matches the Rfam family "Bacterial small subunit ribosomal RNA", at positions 401 to 1462 of the family's 1533-position model. Lineage: Bacteria; Pseudomonadati; Pseudomonadota; Gammaproteobacteria; Vibrionales; Vibrionaceae. The record is from RNAcentral.
GUGUGUGAAGAAGGCCUUCGGGUUGUAAAGCACUUUCAGUCGUGAGGAAGGUGGUGACGUUAAUAGCGGAUUCUUUGACGUUAGCGACAGAAGAAGCACCGGCUAACUCCGUGCCAGCAGCCGCGGUAAUACGGAGGGUGCGAGCGUUAAUCGGAAUUACUGGGCGUAAAGCGCAUGCAGGUGGUUUGUUAAGUCAGAUGUGAAAGCCCGGGGCUCAACCUCGGAAUAGCAUUUGAAACUGGCAGACUAGAGUACUGUAGAGGGGGGUAGAAUUUCAGGUGUAGCGGUGAAAUGCGUAGAGAUCUGAAGGAAUACCGGUGGCGAAGGCGGCCCCCUGGACAGAUACUGACACUCAGAUGCGAAAGCGUGGGGAGCAAACAGGAUUAGAUACCCUGGUAGUCCACGCCGUAAACGAUGUCUACUUGGAGGUUGUGGCCUUGAGCCGUGGCUUUCGGAGCUAACGCGUUAAGUAGACCGCCUGGGGAGUACGGUCGCAAGAUUAAAACUCAAAUGAAUUGACGGGGGCCCGCACAAGCGGUGGAGCAUGUGGUUUAAUUCGAUGCAACGCGAAGAACCUUACCUACUCUUGACAUCCAGAGAACUUUCCAGAGAUGGAUUGGUGCCUUCGGGAACUCUGAGACAGGUGCUGCAUGGCUGUCGUCAGCUCGUGUUGUGAAAUGUUGGGUUAAGUCCCGCAACGAGCGCAACCCUUAUCCUUGUUUGCCAGCGAGUAAUGUCGGGAACUCCAGGGAGACUGCCGGUGAUAAACCGGAGGAAGGUGGGGACGACGUCAAGUCAUCAUGGCCCUUACGAGUAGGGCUACACACGUGCUACAAUGGCGCAUACAGAGGGCGGCCAACUUGCGAAAGUGAGCGAAUCCCAAAAAGUGCGUCGUAGUCCGGAUUGGAGUCUGCAACUCGACUCCAUGAAGUCGGAAUCGCUAGUAAUCGUGGAUCAGAAUGCCACGGUGAAUACGUUCCCGGGCCUUGUACACACCGCCCGUCACACCAUGGGAGUGGGCUGCAAAAGAAGUAGGUAGUUUAACCUUCGGGGGGACGCUUACCACUU